GAGAGAAAUUAAUCAUCACAUGACGGUCGCGAUCGGCCGCCACCCCCCGACAGCCGGAGCCAACGCCGGGGAGCCGGGGAAAAGCUGCGAGGAGGGGACACACCUGUAGGCGCAGCACAUAUCCGCUGCACCCCGCUAAAAAGUCUGCGUGCAAAUUCCUCCUCCCCAGAAACAUGCCAACAGGAGUUAAUGGAGACCCCGCUCCCACACAGCAUUGUCUUGCUUUAGCAUCAUGCUCCUCUCCACCUUCAGUUGUCAAAUUUGUCUCCACUGUAUGUAACGUCGAGAUAAUCUAUUAAAAAGAGGGAUGUCUUAGAAGAAUGGCUUAGAAACCUGCCUGUGGACACACACAGAGCCAGAGCAGUGGUGACAGUUUAUUUAAUUUGAAAGAGGAGCUGGUGAAGUGAAGCCGUGCUGAAUCCUCGUCCAGUCCGUAACAAUUACCUGCUGUGCAUUUGACCUUGCCGAGUGUGGCGGGGAUUAGGAAGCUGAACUAGAGCUUGAGGUGGCCAUGCAGCAUCCCGUCCCAGG
This is a long non-coding RNA of Chroicocephalus ridibundus (black-headed gull), 531 nucleotides long. RefSeq lists it as uncharacterized. The record is from RefSeq and is a predicted model, not a curated record. The transcript is spliced from 3 exons. Lineage: Eukaryota; Metazoa; Chordata; Aves; Charadriiformes; Laridae.